This 167-nucleotide small nuclear RNA is filed under the name Dasypus novemcinctus (nine-banded armadillo). RNAcentral describes it as "U1 spliceosomal RNA (ENSDNOG00000027465.1)". It matches the Rfam family "U1 spliceosomal RNA". From Rfam's summary of the family: U1 is a small nuclear RNA (snRNA) component of the spliceosome (involved in pre-mRNA splicing). Its 5' end forms complementary base pairs with the 5' splice junction, thus defining the 5' donor site of an intron. There are significant differences in sequence and secondary structure between metazoan and yeast U1 snRNAs, the latter being much longer (568 nucleotides as compared to 164 nucleotides in human). Lineage: Eukaryota; Metazoa; Chordata; Mammalia; Cingulata; Dasypodidae. The record is from RNAcentral.
AUACUUAGCUGGCAGAGGAGAUAUCAUGAUCAUGAAAGUGCUUUUCCCAGGGUGAGAAUUUAUUUCCUUUACAUUCUGGAUGUGCUCACUCCUGCAAUUUCCCCAAUUGCCUGAAACUUGACUGCAUAAUUUGUGGGAGUGGAGUAUUGCAUUCAUGCUUUCCCUUA